RNAcentral lists this ribosomal RNA (439 nucleotides) under uncultured Eubacteriales bacterium. Its description in RNAcentral is "bacterial SSU rRNA". It matches the Rfam family "Bacterial small subunit ribosomal RNA", at positions 338 to 795 of the family's 1533-position model. The record is from RNAcentral. Lineage: Bacteria; Bacillati; Bacillota; Clostridia; Eubacteriales.
CCUACGGGAGGCUGCAGUGGGGAAUAUUGCACAAUGGGCGAAAGCCUGAUGCAGCAACGCCGCGUGAACGAAGAAGGCCUUUGGGUCGUAAAGUUCUGUCCAAGAGGAAGAUAAUGACGGUACUCUUGGAGGAAGCCCCGGCUAACUACGUGCCAGCAGCCGCGGUAACACGUAGGGGGCAAGCGUUAUCCGGAAUUAUUGGGCGUAAAGGGUGCGUAGGCGGCUUCUUAAGCGUGGGGUGAAAUGCAAUAGCUCAACUAUUGUAAGCCUUGCGAACUGGGGAGCUUGAGUGCAGGAGAGGAAAGCGGAAUUCCUAGUGUAGCGGUGAAAUGCGUAGAUAUUAGGAGGAACACCAGUGGCGAAGGCGGCUUUCUGGACUGUAACUGACGCUGAGGCACGAAAGCGUGGGUAGCGAACAGGCUUAGAUACCCCAGUAGUC